AUAUAUAGCCAUAUCACCCUGAAUACACUCAACCUAAUUUGAUCUGGGAAACUAAAGAGAACUGAGCAUGAAUACUACUGGAUGGAAAAAUCAUAUAAGAAUAUUAAUUGCUAUAGACU
Molecule: ribosomal RNA, 119 nt
Filed under: Notamacropus eugenii (tammar wallaby)
Lineage: Eukaryota; Metazoa; Chordata; Mammalia; Diprotodontia; Macropodidae
Source: RNAcentral